RNA transcript from Nomascus leucogenys (northern white-cheeked gibbon), 1103 nucleotides. It is a transcript of the gene named succinate dehydrogenase cytochrome b560 subunit, mitochondrial pseudogene, with no coding region annotated. NCBI's taxonomy places the organism in Eukaryota, Metazoa, Chordata, Mammalia, Primates, Hylobatidae. The record is from RefSeq and is a predicted model, not a curated record. The transcript has a single exon.
AUGGCUGCGCUCUUGCUGAGACACGUUGGUCGUCAUUGACUCCGAGCCCACUUUAGCCCUCAGCUCUGUAUCAGAAAUGCUGUUCCUUUGGGAAACACGGCCAAAGAAGAGAUGGAGCGGUUCUGGAAUAAGAAUAUAGGUUCAAACUGUCCUCUAUCACCCCACAUCACUAUCUACAGUUGGUCUCUUCCCAUGGCGAUGUCCAUCUGCCACCGUGGCACUGGUAUUGCUUUGAGUGCAGAUGUGGGACCUAGAAAAAAAGCCCGAAGAUUCCCCAGCUGUACCAGUCUGGAGUGGUUGUCCUGGUUCUUACUGUGUUGUCCUUUAUGGGGCUGGCAGCCAUGUGAAGGACGGAGGCUCCCAGCAUCGUCUUCCUACACAUUAUUACAUUCACUCAUCUUUCUGUUUGUCAUUCUUAUUUCCAGCCUGGGAAAAGUUCUCCUUAUUUGUUUAGAUACUUUUGUACUUUCAGAUCCCCUUGGAGCAGUAGAGUACCUUGUAGACCAUAAUAGUGGAAAAGGGUCUAGUUUUCCCCUUGUUUCUAAAGAUGAGGUGGCUGCAAAAACUCCCCUUUUUUGCCCACAGCUUGCCCACUCUCGGCCUAGAAGCAGUUAUUCUCUCUCCAUAUUGGGCUUUGAUUUGUGCUGAGGAUAAGCUUUUGGCUCCUUCUUCCUGAGACAGUGGAAACAAUGCCAGCUCUGUGGCUUCUGCCCUGGGGACGGGCGGCGGGGGGUGGGUGGUUGGUGAGGCUUUGGGUGCCACUGACUGUGGGUUGCUGGCUUAAAGGACAAUUCUCUUCAUUGGUAAGAGCCCAGGCCGUUAACACCUACACAGUGUUAUUGAAAGAAGAGAGGUGGGGGUGGAGGGGAAUUAGUCUGUCCCAGCUAGAGGGAGAUAAAGAGGGCUAGUUAGUUCUUGGAGCAGCUGCUUUUGAGGAGAAAAUAUAUACCUUUUGACACAAGAGGAAGAUCCAGAAAAUUAUCAUUAAACAUAUUAAUGGUUAUUUCUUUUUCUUGGAUUUCCAGAAAAGCCUCUUAAUUUUACGCUUUCUCAUCGAAGUAAUGUACCCUUUUUGUCUGAAACUGAAUUAAAAUACUCAUUUU